This 1488-nucleotide ribosomal RNA is filed under the name Staphylococcus agnetis. Its description in RNAcentral is "bacterial SSU rRNA". It matches the Rfam family "Bacterial small subunit ribosomal RNA". Lineage: Bacteria; Bacillati; Bacillota; Bacilli; Caryophanales; Staphylococcaceae. The record is from RNAcentral.
UUUAUGGAGAGUUUGAUCCUGGCUCAGGAUGAACGCUGGCGGCGUGCCUAAUACAUGCAAGUCGAGCGAACUGACGAGGAGCUUGCUCCUUUGACGUUAGCGGCGGACGGGUGAGUAACACGUGGGUAACCUACCUAUAAGACUGGAAUAACUCCGGGAAACCGGGGCUAAUGCCGGAUAACAUGUUGAACCGCAUGGUUCAACAGUGAAAGCAUCGGUCUUGCUGUCACUAUAGAUGGACCGCGCCGUAUUAGCUAGCUGGUGGUAAGUAACGGCUUAAUAAGGCGACGAUACGUAGCCGACCUGAGAGGGUGAUCGGCCACUGGAACUGAGGACACGGUCCAGACUCUACGGGAGGCAGCAGUAGGGAAUCUUCCGCAAUGCGAAAAGCCCGGACGAGCAAACGCCGGCGAAGGUCUUCGGAUCGUAAAGCCUGUUGUUAGGGAAGAAAUACAUGGGCAAUCAGCACAUCUUGACGGUACCUAACCAAGCCAAUGGCUGGUCCACGUGCCAGCAGCCGCGGUAAUACGUAGGGUGGCGCGCGUUAUCCGGAAUUAUUGGGCGUAAAAGCGCGUGGUGGUGGUUUUUAAGUCUGAUUGUGAACUUGCCCAACCGUGGAGUGGUCAUUGGAAAAUGGAAAACUUGAGUGCAGAAGAGGAAAGUGGAAUUCAUGCGGUGAAAUGCGCAGAGAUGGCGGAGGAACACCAGCAAGAAGGCGGCUUCGUCUGUAACUGACGCUGAGGUGCGAAAGCGUGAUCAAACAGGAUUGAUACCCUGGUAGUCCACGCCGCAAACGGAUGAGUGCCAAGUGUUAGGGGUUUCGCCCCUUAGUGCUGCAGCUAACGCAUUAAGCACUCCGCCUUGCUGGUCGCAAGACUGAAACUCAAAGGAAUUGAUUUAACGCACAAGGUGGGAGCAUGUGGUUUAAUUCGAAGCAACGCGAAGAACCUUACCAAAUCUUGACUUUUGAUCGCUCUAGAGAGAUAGAGUUUCGGGAGGACAAAAAUGACAGGUGGUGCAUUGUCGUCAGCUCGUGUCGAGAUGUUGGUUAAGUCCCGCAACGAGCGCAACCUCCUGCUUAGUUGCCAUCAUUGUUAAGCAAUUAAGUUGACUGCCGGUGACAAACUGAGGAAGGUGGGGAUGACGUCAAAUCAUCAUGCCCCUUUAUGACGUACACACGUGCUACAAUGGACAAUACAAAGGGCAGCGAAACCGGGCGAGGUCAAGCAAACUUACAAAGUUGUUCUCAGUUCGAUAGUCUGCAACUCGACUACAUGAAGCUGGAAUCGCUAGUAAUCGUAGAUCAGCAUGCCACGGUGAAUUCCCGGGUCUUGUACACACCGCCCGUCAGCACCACGAGAGUUUGUAACACCCGAAGCCGGUGGAGUAAAAUCCAUUUUGGGAGCCAGCCGUCGAAGGUGGGACAAAUGGAUUGGGGUGAAGUCGUAACAAGGUAGCCGUAUCGGAAGGUGCGGCUACCUCCUUUCU